Molecule: ribosomal RNA, 252 nt
Filed under: uncultured bacterium
Lineage: Bacteria
Description: partial 16S ribosomal RNA
Rfam family: Bacterial small subunit ribosomal RNA
Source: RNAcentral
UACGGAGGAUGCGAGCGUUAUCCGGAUUUAUUGGGUUUAAAGGGUGCGUAGGCGGACGCUUAAGUCAGCGGUAAAAAUGCGGUGCUCAACGCCGUCGAGCCGUUGAAACUGGCGUUCUUGAGUGGGCGAGAAGUAUGCGGAAUGCGUGGUGUAGCGGUGAAAUGCAUAGAUAUCACGCAGAACUCCGAUUGCGAAGGCAGCAUACCGGCGCCCUACUGACGCUGAGGCACGAAAGCGUGGGUAUCGAACAGG